This 512-nucleotide ribosomal RNA is filed under the name uncultured Porphyromonadaceae bacterium. RNAcentral's name for it is "bacterial SSU rRNA". It matches the Rfam family "Bacterial small subunit ribosomal RNA", at positions 366 to 878 of the family's 1533-position model. The record is from RNAcentral. Lineage: Bacteria; Pseudomonadati; Bacteroidota; Bacteroidia; Bacteroidales; Porphyromonadaceae.
GGUCAAUGGGCUGGAGCCUGAACCAGCCAAGUCGCGUGAAGGAUGACUUGUCUUAUGGAUUGUAACUUCUUUUAUACGGGAAUAACAAGAGUCACGUGUGACUUCCUGCAUGUACCGUAUGAAUAAGCAUCGGCUAACUCCGUGCCAGCAGCCGCGGUAAUACGGAGGAUGCGAGCGUUAUCCGGAUUUAUUGGGUUUAAAGGGUGCGUAGGCGGUUUGUUAAGUCAGCGGUGAAAUCUAGAGGCUCAACCUCGAAACUGCCGUUGAAACUGGCGAACUUGAGUGUAGAUGAGGUAGGCGGAAUUCGUGGUGUAGCGGUGAAAUGCAUAGAUAUCACGAGGAACUCCGAUUGCGAAGGCAGCUUACUAAGGGACAACUGACGCUGAAGCACGAAAGCGUGGGUAUCAAACAGGAUUAGAUAUCCUGGUAGUCCACGCAGUAAACGAUGAUAACUGGGCGUAUGCGAUAUACAGUAUGCUCCUAAGCGAAAGCGUUAAGUUAUCCACCCUGGG